GCAGGUUGAAGGUGCGGUAACACGCACUGGAGGACCGAACCCACGUCUGUUGAAAAAGACGGGGAUGACGUGUGGCUAGGGGUGAAAGGCCAAUCAAACUCGGAGAUAGCUGGUUCUCCGCGAAAUCUAUUUAGGUAGAGCGUCACGUGAAUACCCUCGGGGGUAGAGCACUGGAUGGGCUAGGGGGCCGCGAGGCUUACCAAACCUAACCAAACUCCGAAUACCGUAGAGUAGAGCACGGCAGACAGACAUCGGGUGCUAAGGUCCGGUGUCGAAAGGGAAACAGCCCAGACCGCCAUCUAAGGUCCCUAAGUUAUGGCUAAGUGGGAAAGGAUGUAGGAAGGCCAAGACAACCAGGAGGUUGGCUUAGA
This 371-nucleotide ribosomal RNA is filed under the name Isochrysis galbana. RNAcentral's name for it is "partial Bacterial large subunit ribosomal RNA". It matches the Rfam family "Bacterial large subunit ribosomal RNA", at positions 740 to 1110 of the family's 2925-position model. The record is from RNAcentral. Lineage: Eukaryota; Haptophyta; Isochrysidales; Isochrysidaceae.